RNAcentral lists this long non-coding RNA (935 nucleotides) under Malus domestica (apple). Its description in RNAcentral is "long non-coding RNA (MDOM_LNC013117)". The record is from RNAcentral. Lineage: Eukaryota; Viridiplantae; Streptophyta; Magnoliopsida; Rosales; Rosaceae.
UUAUAUUCUAGCGUCAAAUUCAUGCAUGUAAAUUAAGUAUGUAUUCUUAAUCGACAUACAAAAAUAAGUUAUCAAUCAAGCAGUUAAGCAAAUUAAAUCACAACUCAGAAAUCACAACUGAAGGUAAUCAAUUCAUAUUACAAAUAUAUUCAUGGCUUUGAAUUAACCUCUAGCCAAAAUAAAUUUAGUUACACAUUAUUAAAACAGAAAUAAAAUAUAAAUUUGGAAAGAUUUAACCGAAAGAUUGAGUGAAGCCUCUGCUUCUGUGCUACUGCUACCGUGCUUCCGUCAGCCUCUGUCAAUCUCUCUCUGCCUAUCUCUCCUCUCCGAGGCUCACGCUGCGCAAGGCAGCUUGCUGAUUCUUCUCUCGUUUCUGCUCCUCGUCCCUCUCCCUCACUCAAUUUUCUGUCUGUUCUCUCUAUCCAUCUCUCUGCCUUCUGUCCCCCCUUUUUCGCUAGAGCCCUCCUCUACUUGCUGUGUUUAUUUAUUUCUUUAUUUGACUUUUCUUCUAUUGCCAACCUGUGCUUUGCUGUAUUGUUGCCUUUCAGACAAAACCAAAGGGCAGCCUUAAUCAUUCAUCAUGAUUAUUCAUCAUGAUUUUAUGCUUUAUGCUCUUCUUUGUCAUCUUUGUCUGCUUUUCAAUUCCAAUCUGCAAGUUGUCGUCAGCUAGACCUUCCCUUACUCAAAUGCCCAUAACGUCUUCUAGAAAAAUAAUAUUAACAAUCCGCGAAGUGUUCUAGAAAAUAGACAUCUGUAGCUUUCCAAGCAUAUAAGGCUCAUUCUCUAAUUCAUUCUGAACUGUUCGCAACUUGCUCCCAAAGUCAGCUGAUCUACACAGGCAGUUUUGACGAAUUUAUUACAUAAAAUUUCACUUGUUCUAUUUUUAUUUUUUUUGCAUAACAAAUCCUAUAAACACAAAAAUAACGUAAAUAGCU